This 691-nucleotide ribosomal RNA is filed under the name uncultured bacterium. RNAcentral's name for it is "bacterial SSU rRNA". It matches the Rfam family "Bacterial small subunit ribosomal RNA", at positions 93 to 783 of the family's 1533-position model. The record is from RNAcentral.
GACCGGCGCACGGGUGAGUAACACGUAUCCAACCUGCCGCUUACUCGGGGAUAGCCUUUCGAAAGAAAGAUUAAUACCCGAUGGUAUAAAGAGUUCGCAUGUUCUCUUUAUUAAAGAAUUUCGGUAAGCGAUGGGGAUGCGUUCCAUUAGAUAGUUGGCGGGGUAACGGCCCACCAAGUCUACGAUGGAUAGGGGUUCUGAGAGGAAGGUCCCCCACAUUGGAACUGAGACACGGUCCAAACUCCUACGGGAGGCAGCAGUGAGGAAUAUUGGUCAAUGGACGAGAGUCUGAACCAGCCAAGUAGCGUGAAGGAUGACUGCCCUAUGGGUUGUAAACUUCUUUUAUAAGGGAAUAAAGUGAGGGACGUGUCCCUUUUUGUAUGUACCUUAUGAAUAAGGAUCGGCUAACUCCGUGCCAGCAGCCGCGGUAAUACGGAGGAUCCAAGCGUUAUCCGGAUUUAUUGGGUUUAAAGGGAGCGUAGGUUGACAUAUAAGUCAGCUGUGAAAGUUUACGGCUCAACCGUGAAAUUGCAGUUGAUACUGUAUGUCUUGAGUGUACAAGAGGUGGGCGGAAUUCGUGGUGUAGCGGUGAAAUGCUUAGAUAUCACGAAGAACUCCAAUUGCGAAGGCAGCUCACUGGGGUACAACUGACACUGAGGCUCGAAAGUGUGGGUAUCAAACAGGAUUAGAU